CCUACGGGCGGCAGCAGUGAGGAAUAUUGGUCAAUGGACGAGAGUCUGAACCAGCCAAGUAGCGUGAAGGAUGACUGCCCUAUGGGUUGUAAACUUCUUUUAUAUGGGAAUAAAAUGUUCCACGUGUGGGAUUUUGUAUGUACCAUAUGAAUAAGGAUCGGCUAACUCCGUGCCAGCAGCCGCGGUAAUACGGAGGAUCCGAGCGUUAUCCGGAUUUAUUGGGUUUAAAGGGAGCGUAGGUGGAUUGUUAAGUCAGUUGUGAAAGUUUGCGGCUCAACCGUAAAAUUGCAGUUGAAACUGGCAGUCGUGAGUACAGUAGAGGUGGGCGGAAUUCGGGGUGUAGCGGUGAAAUGCUUAGAUAUCACGAAGAACUCCGAUUGCGAAGGCAGCUCACUGGACUGCAACUGACACUGAGGCUCGAAAGUGUGGGUAUCAAACAGGAUUAGAUACCCCUGUAGUC
This 460-nucleotide ribosomal RNA is filed under the name uncultured bacterium. RNAcentral's name for it is "partial 16S ribosomal RNA". It matches the Rfam family "Bacterial small subunit ribosomal RNA", at positions 338 to 795 of the family's 1533-position model. The record is from RNAcentral.